This 516-nucleotide ribosomal RNA is filed under the name uncultured bacterium. Its description in RNAcentral is "bacterial SSU rRNA". It matches the Rfam family "Bacterial small subunit ribosomal RNA", at positions 8 to 518 of the family's 1533-position model. The record is from RNAcentral.
AGAGUUGAUCCUGGCUCAGGAUGAACGCUAGCUACAGGCUAACACAUGCAAGUCGAGGGGCAGCAUGAUCGAAGCUUGCUUGAUGAUGGCGACCGGCGCACGGGUGAGUAACGCGUAUCCAACUUCCCUGUAGUAGAGGAUAGCCCGGCGAAAGUCGGAUUAAUACUCUAUGUUGUAUUUAGAAGACAUCUGAAGAAUACCAAAGGUUUACCGCUAUAGGAUGGGGAUGCGUCUGAUUAGGUUGUUGGCGGGGUAACGGCCCACCAAGCCUACGAUCAGUAGGGGUUCUGAGAGGAAGGUCCCCCACAUUGGAACUGAGACACGGUCCAAACUCCUACGGGAGGCAGCAGUGAGGAAUAUUGGUCAAUGGACGUAAGUCUGAACCAGCCAAGUAGCGUGCAGGAUGACGGCCCUAUGGGUUGUAAACUGCUUUUAUAUAGGGAUAAAGUGCACUACGUGUAGUGUUUUGUAGGUACUAUAUGAAUAAGGACCGGCUAAUUCCGUGCCAGCCGCCGC